RNAcentral lists this ribosomal RNA (157 nucleotides) under Enterococcus faecium. RNAcentral describes it as "partial 16S ribosomal RNA". It matches the Rfam family "Bacterial small subunit ribosomal RNA", at positions 356 to 505 of the family's 1533-position model. Lineage: Bacteria; Bacillati; Bacillota; Bacilli; Lactobacillales; Enterococcaceae. The record is from RNAcentral.
CGAGAAUCUUCGGCAAUGGACGAAAGUCUGACCGAGCAACGCCGCGUGAGUGAAGAAGGUUUUCGGAUCGUAAAACUCUGUUGUUAGAGAAGAACAAGGAUGAGAGUAACUGUUCAUCCCUUGACGGUAUCUAACCAGAAAGCCACGGCUAACUACG